Molecule: long non-coding RNA, 2365 nt
Organism: Mytilus californianus (California mussel)
Lineage: Eukaryota; Metazoa; Mollusca; Bivalvia; Mytilida; Mytilidae
Exons: 3
Source: RefSeq, a predicted model, not a curated record
UUUUUGUGGUCGUAUAUUGGUAUGACGUUGGCGUCGUCGUCGUUGUCGUCGUCGUCCUGCGUUGUCCAAAGACACAUUGGUUUUCGCACUCUAACUUUAGUUUAAGUGAAUGGAUCUCUAUGAAAUUUUACUACAAGGUUCAAUACCACAAAAGGAAGGUUGGGAUUGAUUUUGGGGGUUAUGGUACCAACAGUAAAGGAAUUAGGGGCCAAAAAGGGGCCAAAAAUAAGCAUUUUUGUAACUUCCAGACAUAACUUGUGUGUUAGUGUAUGGAUCUCUCUGACAUUGUACCACAAGGUUCCAUAUCACAAAAGGAAUGCUGGGAUUGAUUUUGGGGGUAAUUGCCUCAACAUUUUAGGAAUUAGGGGCCAAAAAAGGGGCAAAAAACAAGCAUUUUUCUAGUUUCAUGACAAUAACUUGUGUGUAAGUGUAUGGAUCUUUCUGAAAUUGUACUACAAGGUUCCAUAUCACAAAGGGAAAGCUGGAAUUGAGUUUGGGGGUAAUUGCCAAAACGUUUAGGAAUUGGGGGCCAAAAAGGGGCCAAAAAUAUGCAUAUUUUUAGUUUCCAGACAAUAACUUGUGUUCAAGUGUAUGGAUCUCUCUGAAAUUGUACUGCAAGGUACCAUACCACAAAGGGAAGGCUGGGAUUGAUGAUGGGGGGUUAUUGCCUCAAUAUUUUAGGAAUUAGGGGCCAAAAAGGGGCAAAAAACAAGCAUUUUUCUAGUUUCAGGACAAUAACUUGUGUGUAAGUGUAUGGAUCUUUCUGAAAUUGUACUACAAGGUUCCAUAUCACAAAGGGAAAGCUGGAAUUGAGUUUGGGGGUAAUUGCCCAAAACAUUUAGGAAUAAGGGGCCAAAAAUAGCAUUUUUAUAGUUUCCAGACAAUUACUUGUGUUCAAGUGUAUGGAUCUCUCUGAAAUUGUACUGCAAGGUACCAUACCACAAAGGGAAGGCUGGGAAUGAUUUUGGGGGUAAUUCCCUCAAAAUUUUAGGAAUAAGGGGUCAAAAAGGGGAAAAAAACAAGCAUUUUUCUAGUUUCAGGACAAUAACUUGCGUUCAAGUGUAUGGAUCUCUCUGAAAUUGUACUGCAAGGUACCAUACCACAAAGGGAAGGCUGGGAUUGAGUUUGGGGGUGAUGAAUCAUAAGGGGUUUCAAAAAAUUUGGGGGGGAUUUUUUUUUUUUCCUUUUUUUUUCUUUUAAAAUUUUCCAUUUUAAGUUGGUUAUUUCUGAUUUAUAUUUAAAAGCAAAUAUAAUGAUAUGGUAGGAGAUACACACCAAACAGGAUGUGUAAAUUAUUAUAUAAUAAGUAUUGUGCAAUAGCAAGAAAUUUUCAAUUGCACAGUAUUGCACAAUAGCAAGAAAUCUUUCAUUGCACAGUAUUGCGCAACAGCAAGAAAUCUUCAAUUGCACAGUAUUGCGCAAUAGCAAGAAAUAUCCAAUAGCACAAUAUUGCGCAAUAGCAAGAAAUUGUCAAUUGUACAGUAUUGCGCAAUAGCAAGAAAUAUUCAAUUGCACAGUAUUAAUUGCUUAUUUCUUGACCAAUUUCAAUGGGGUUUUAUUCUUGAAUUCUUGGGGUUCUUUAAUAUGCUGAAUCUAACCGUGUAUUAAGUUUUUUGAUUUUGGGCCCCGAUUUUAAAUUGGUCCACAUUGAGGUCCAAAGGGUCCAAAAUUAAACUUUGUUUGAUUUCAUCAAAAAUUGAAUUAUUGGGGUUCUUUGAUAUGCCGAAUCUAACCGUGUAUUUAGAUUCUUAAUUUUUGGUUCCGUUUUCAAAUUGGUCUACAUUAAGGUCCAAAGGGUCCAAAAUUAAACUUAGUUUGAUUUUAACAAAAAUUGAAUUCUUAGGGUUCUUUGAUAUGCCGAAUCUAAACAUGUAUUUAGAUUUUUGAUUAUGGGCCCAGUUUUCAAGUUGGUCCAAAUCGGGGGUCCAAAAUUAAACUUUGUUUGAUUUCAACAAAAAUUGAAUAUAUGGGGUUCUUUGAUAUGCUGAAUCUAACCAUGUAUUUAGAUUAUUCAUUUUUGGGCCCCAUUAUCAACUUUGUCCACAUUGAGGUCGAAAGGGUCCAAAAUUAAACUUUGUUUGAUUUCAUCAAAAAUUGAAUUCUUGGGGUUCUUUGAUAUGCUGAAUCUAACCAUGUAUUUAGAUUUUGGAUAUUGGACCAUAAUAGGUGAAUGUCCAAUUUAAAUUUUUUAAGUUCUUAGACCACAUUCAUUCUGUGUCAGAAACCUAUGCUGUGUCAAAUAUUUAAUCACAAUCCAAAUGCAAAGCUGUAUCAAGCUUGAAUGUUGUGUCCAUACUUGCCCCAACUGUUCAGGGUUCGACCUCUGCGGUCGUAUCAAGCUGCGCCCUGCGGAGCAUUUUAUUUC